This 74-nucleotide transfer RNA is filed under the name Gammaproteobacteria bacterium. Its description in RNAcentral is "tRNA-Val". It matches the Rfam family "tRNA". From Rfam's summary of the family: Transfer RNA (tRNA) molecules are approximately 80 nucleotides in length. Their secondary structure includes four short double-helical elements and three loops (D, anti-codon, and T loops). RNAcentral also lists the same sequence under 3 other names. Lineage: Bacteria; Pseudomonadati; Pseudomonadota; Gammaproteobacteria. The record is from RNAcentral.
GGGCGCGUAGCUCAGCUGGUUAGAGUGCCACGUUGACAUCGUGGAGGUCACAGGUUCGAGUCCUGUCGCGCCCA